This 173-nucleotide unclassified non-coding RNA is filed under the name plant metagenome. Its description in RNAcentral is "partial contains small subunit ribosomal RNA and internal transcribed spacer 1". The stretch from base 1 to 46 matches the Rfam family "Eukaryotic small subunit ribosomal RNA", at positions 1786 to 1831 of the family's 1831-position model. The record is from RNAcentral.
AAGUCGUAACAAGGUUUCCGUAGGUGAACCUGCGGAAGGAUCAUUAAAGAAUAUCGAGCUUCACAGCUCUUAUUCUCACCCUUUGUAUAUCAAACUUUGUUGCUUUGACGCUCGUCGGCCGCAGACGAACCAACUAGAAUCUCUGCCGUCUGAGUACUAUAUAAUAGUUAAAA